GCCCGGCUAGCUCAGUCGGUAGAGCAUGAGACUCUUAAUCUCAGGUUCGUUGGUUUGAGCCCUAUGUUGGGCG
Molecule: transfer RNA, 73 nt
Filed under: Manduca sexta (tobacco hornworm)
Lineage: Eukaryota; Metazoa; Arthropoda; Insecta; Lepidoptera; Sphingidae
Description: tRNA-Lys
Rfam family: tRNA
About the family: Transfer RNA (tRNA) molecules are approximately 80 nucleotides in length.
Source: Rfam by way of RNAcentral